Long non-coding RNA from Rhincodon typus (whale shark), 209 nucleotides. RefSeq lists it as uncharacterized. Lineage: Eukaryota; Metazoa; Chordata; Chondrichthyes; Orectolobiformes; Rhincodontidae. The record is from RefSeq and is a predicted model, not a curated record. The transcript is spliced from 4 exons.
CUAGGGUCCACCAGGACCAUCUGGUCGUCCAGGGCCAAAGGGCAACAUGGGAUUGAUCUUUGUGGGUUCCAUGGGUGACAAGGGUGUGAAAGGUCUUCCUGGCCCCAUUUAUCGACCAGAGCGGGCUCCUACCACGACUGUGAAAGGACAGAAGGGCAGUCCAGGACCCCCUGGAGACCCAGGGUUUCCAGGUCUCCCGGGUUUACCAG